RNAcentral lists this ribosomal RNA (252 nucleotides) under uncultured prokaryote. RNAcentral's name for it is "partial 16S ribosomal RNA". It matches the Rfam family "Bacterial small subunit ribosomal RNA", at positions 525 to 776 of the family's 1533-position model. The record is from RNAcentral.
ACGGAGGGUGCAAGCGUUAUCCGGAUUCACUGGGUUUAAAGGGAGCGUAGGUGGGUUGGUAAGUCAGUGGUGAAAUCCCCGAGCUUAACUUGGGAACUGCCAUUGAUACUAUCAAUCUUGAAUACUGUGGAGGUAAGCGGAAUAUAUCAUGUAGCGGUGAAAUGCUUAGAUAUGAUAUAGAACACCAAUAGCGAAGGCAGCUUACUACGCAGUUAUUGACACUGAGGCUCGAAAGCGUGGGGAUCAAACAGG